GACGAACGCUGGCGGCGUGCUUAACACAUGCAAGUCGAACGGAAAGGCCCUGCUUUUGUGGGGUGCUCGAGUGGCGAACGGGUGAGUAACACGUGAGUAACCUGCCCUUGACUUUGGGAUAACUUCAGGAAACUGGGGCUAAUACCGGAUAGGAGCUCCUGCUGCAUGGUGGGGGUUGGAAAGUUUCGGCGGUUGGGUGUGGACUCGCGGCUUAUCGGCUUGUUGGUUGGGUAGUGGCUUACCAAGGCUUUGACGGGUAGCCGGCCUGAGAGGGUGACCGGCCAGAUUGGGUGUGAGAUACGGCCCAGACUCCUACGGGAGGGAACAGUGGGGAAUAUUGCACAAUGGGCGGAAGCCUGAUGCAGCAACGCCGCGCGCGGGAUGACGGCCUUCGGGUUGUAAACCGCUUUCGCCUGUGACGAAGCGUGAGUGACGGUAAUGGGUAAAGAAGCACCGGCUAACUACGU
RNAcentral lists this ribosomal RNA (467 nucleotides) under uncultured bacterium. RNAcentral's name for it is "partial 16S ribosomal RNA". It matches the Rfam family "Bacterial small subunit ribosomal RNA", at positions 28 to 506 of the family's 1533-position model. The record is from RNAcentral.